Long non-coding RNA from Musa acuminata AAA Group (dessert banana), 5605 nucleotides. RefSeq lists it as uncharacterized. The transcript has 2 exons. NCBI's taxonomy places the organism in Eukaryota, Viridiplantae, Streptophyta, Magnoliopsida, Zingiberales, Musaceae. The record is from RefSeq and is a predicted model, not a curated record.
ACGCGACUCCAGGUCUCCAAAGGCCGCCGCCGCCUCCGCGAGGAAAACCCUAAUUCUUGGUCUAUAUAAAUAUGGGAUUCAUGAGAUACGAACGUUGUCCUCGGGUUUCCUGUGAUCUUGUUUGGUUUCGCCAGCGUCUUUUGGUUUCUUCUCGCGGAAGCUCUGUAUAAGAUUUAGAGAUUUUACUUGUCUCUCCAUCAAAGUGGAGGUUGCUGUGACGACUCUGGAAAAUUCAAGCUCAACAGACCGGAUCGCAGGUCUCGCUUUCUGGAGGGAUUUGUAUGUCGACUGCCCCGCUGAACUGAACAAGCUCCCACAUUCCUUUUUGUUUUCAUUCGUGAUUUCUCAAAAAUCUAUAUUUUCAUCUAUUUGAUGCGGCUUUUUGUGUUCUUACGUCUAUGUAAUUAUCCCUCUUUGGUGCCCGAGGCAGAGGGUGUCUGAUUUCUUGUGAGUUGUUUCCUUUUUCGUCAAAAAAAGAUUUUUCAAAAUCUAUAUUUUAGCCGAUUUUGUGUUAUACAUCACUAUUUCUCGGAGAUUUGUGCGUCGAAUAAAAGAAGAUCAAACCUUCCUUUAUUGAGUUUUGAUACGGCGGUAAAACUCGCAGCUCUUUACGGUUUCAUGUUGUUGUUGUUGUUUGAUAAAUCGGAUUGUAGAUCUCCCUCUCAUUGAUUGAGGGAUUUUGGUCGGCUUUGACGCGUUUUGUUACUUAGCUUUCUCUCAUGAAGAUAACAGAGCUCCCUCUUCUGAAAUGCGACUUUGAGGACGCUCGCUGGCAGAGUCGAACCAUUAUUUAAAAUCGCCAUCACUGAGACUUUCAUGUUUUAUUUAUUUUUUAAGAUCUAUUUAAUCUGUUUGAUAAAUUAUAAUUAUUUUGAUGGAAAAAUGGUACGUCUUUUUACACUUUUUUUCUUUCAGCUAAAUGUUCGAAUCAUUUGCAACCUAAAAGAUAGUGAUGAAGUAAAAAGAUCUAUAUCCAACACUUGAUCUGAGGAUCAAAGAUUCCACUGAUGUAACAUUUCUUUUGCUUCUGAAUCUGAAUCUACUUGCUUAUGUCACUUUGAUUCACUUUGAUUUCAAUGGAGAAGUUUGUUUUUUUAUCACAAUUUUGAUCUGUGGAAGUAUUUGUGCAAUGCGUCAGAUGAUGAAAGUUUGAAGUGUAAUCUUAGGACACCUUCCUACACUGCCCAAGAUUUCCUUGGGUUGUGGAUGAGAAAAACAUGUUCAAUCUGAUGAUGGUCAUGGCCUUCCGAAACACUUUUAAUUGAUUAUAUAUCUACGUUUUGCACUAUACGCUUCUUGAAUCAAUAUUGUUAAUAAUAUAUUCGGAAAUGAGGCUGUUUGUAUUCACGUGCAUAAAGCAGAUAUUUAUUCAGCAUCUGUUUGAUGUCCACAUUUUUGUAGAGAUAUUAUGAUCCUUUGCAAUUGUCAUUUUUUAAUCAAAAACCUCGUAUAACAAUUUCUGAUGUGCCUUAGUCUAAAAAUUUGCAUGGUGGUCUUCUUUAGUCGUCUGAAGUAGGAUGUUUAGAAAAGUUGUAUGUGUCGGCUUAUGAUGAUAUGCUUAUAAAAGUUGGAAUUACCGACUGAUAAUCCUAUUGUAUGAUGUCAAUUGAUCUGGCUGUCUGAGGCUGAUACUAUUAUCCAGCAUUGUAUUAUGAAGUCUUUAUUCUUCUUUGUACAUGGAGUAUUAUUUUUUCUUUUGGUUUUCUCACAAAGGAUAAAGAAUUGCAUACACAAAGCAAUGUUUAUGUUUUUGGUGGUUGUAGCUUGUCGCUGUGAAAUAUUUUGGCAGUCUAAUAUGUAGAAAUUUUAUUCAUGUUAUUUUAAUUGAGGUUUUAUUUGUCAUGCUUUAAAUUGUGAAUUGGAGAAAGUUUUUAAUUAUUUAGUAGGUAUCAAUUCUGAAGAGUUUAUGGAUCCCAAUGAAGAUGAAAUGGCCUCUUGAUAGGAAGUGCCGUAUGACACUUGUAAUGCAGUUGCCCUGUCCAGUCCUUGGCCUUUUCUCCUCUUGACCAUGCCUCCCUCAAAUCCUACCAUAGGUUUGAGUUUCUGGGGUGUUGUUCAAAGGGGAAUUUGAAGUUCAAUGGACUUGGAGUUCAGCUGUGUGUGUGAUUUUAAAUCGGUCACUGAGGGCUCUUUUAACCUGUUGAAAGUUACUCCACUUUCAUUGGUUUUGUAUAACCUUUCUUUGGCAUUUUGCAUGUUGAUAGGAAUCUGUGGACAAGAUCACUGUCCAUCCAUGGAGUUGAUUUCUGUGAUCACAGAUAGUGAAUGUUUUCUGUCAUUUGUUAUUUUAGAAUGCUGUUUUCUAUAUGGUCUAGGCAAUGCCAUUUGUUUUAUCUGUUAUGCAACUCGUUAUUGUUGUUAUAUUUGAUAGUCUGCUAUGCCAUGCAACUCUUAUUGUUCAUGUUUUUGUCAUAUCCCAUUAUCUUAUAAGCUACUGGUCUUGUAGCAAACCUAAAGCUUUACAGAGAUAAAAGUAAUUAGGAAUUAGUGGAUUACCAUUUGCAUGACGAUGGCUUACCUGGUCAUUGUUAGUUCAGAGAUAAAAAAACAGUAAAGGUUUUUUAUGAAGGCUUUACAGAGAUAAACCUAAAGCUUUACAGAGAUAAAACCUAAAGGUUUUUUAAGGUUCAGAGAUAAACCUAAAGCUUUACAUUGGUAAAAGCUUUACAGAGAUAAAAAAACAGUAUUAUGAAGGCUUACCUGGUCAUUGUUAGUUCUAUCAAAUGUUGGUUCAACUCUUAUUGCAUGUCUCUGUAACUGAUAUUUUAGUUUACUGUCAUUUGACUAUAAGGGUUGAAAUGUUCAAUUUUAAUUGACAUUAAUACCCUUUGGAACUUUGUCAAAUGAUCACUCUGUUCAAACUCCAAUAAUUUCUUAUCAGACCAUAAGAACUCUUAAUUCUUUCUAUUAUUGGUUUGAGUUCAUUGAUACUUCUGGGAUGAAGAAACUGUAUCCUGCAAGUGACGACAAGAUAGACAGGGACAUCUAACUCUUUACAGAGAAUGAUGACUUGGUCUAUGGGAAUCUCUCUGAUGCAUGAGACUGUUUUCUCCCCUGUCUAUUCUGUAUUUUGUGACUGUUUUUCUUCUACGGCAUGAUGCUUUUUUGGUGCAUCUAUUCGAUAGGCAAUUGUAAUUGUAUCAUAUAAGUUCUGCCUGUGAUGCACAAAAAGUGCAUGUAUUAUCAGAGCUGAUUUUGACCUUUUUUCUCCUUUUGACCAUGCCUCCCUUAAAUCCUACCAUAGGUUUGAGUUUCCGUGGGCGUGUUCAAAGGUGAAUUUGAAGUUCAAUGGACUUGUGAGUUUGGCUGUGUGUGUGAUUUUAAAUGGGUCACUGAGGGCUCUUUUAACCUGUCGAAACGGAAUCUGCUUUCGUUGGUUUUGAAUAUCCUUUCUUUUCUAAGGUGUUUUUGUUUAACUUUGUGGUCUGAAGCCGUGUCAACAGUAGCAUAUGCAUUGACUGGUGGUGCUAUGAUCGGGCCCAAAUAUCACUGUCCACCCAUGGAGCUGAUUUUUGUGGUCACAGAUAGUGAAAGUUUUCCGUCAUUUGUUAUUUUAGAAUGCUGUUUUUUUAUAGUCAGGCAAUGCCAUUUGUUUUAUCUGUUAUGCAACUUGUUAUUGUUGUUAUAUUUGAUAGCCCGCUAUGCCAUGCAACUCUUAUUGUUCAUGUUUUUGUCAUAUCCCAUUGUCUUAUAAGCUACUGGUCUUGUAGCAAACCUAAAGCUUUAAAGAGCUAAAAGUAAUUAGGAAUUAGUGGAUCACCAUUUGUAGAAAUUAUCCUGCAUGUUUGCAUUUUAUUUGCUGAUAUUCAGGAAUUGGGCGUACCAGGUCAUUGUUAGUUCUAUCAAAUGUUGGUUCAACUCUUAUCGUGUGUAAACACUUUAGAACUUUGUCAUUAUGAACACUCUGUGUAAUGUUCAAUUUUUAUUGACAUUAAAAACCCUUUAGAACUUUGCCCAAUAAUUUCUUAUCAGAUCAUAAGAACUCUUAAUUCUUUCUAUUAUUGGUUUUUGAGUUCAUUGAUACGUCUGGGAUGAAGAAACUGUAUCCUGCAAGUGAUGACAAGAUAGACAGGGACUCGGCACUCUUUACAGAGGAUGAUGACUUGGUCUAUGGGAAUCUAUCUGAUGCACAAGAUUGUUUUCUCCCCUUAGUCUAUUAUAUAUUUUUUGACUCUUUUUCUUCUACAGCAUGAUGUUUUUUGGGUGCAUCUAUUCGAUAUGCAAUUGUAAUUGUAUCAUAUAAGUUCUGCCCGUGAUGCACAAAAAAUGCACGUAUUAUCAGAGAUGUUGUGAUGAUAUACUAGUUGUCACUACCGCUGAGGCAGUCAAUUUGACCAAAGCUUCGCUUUGGUCAUAUUGCAUCUCUAGUUCAUUACUUCCUUUUUUGUUGGUUUGUUUGUUUGUUGAUCUGAGCUAGUAUGCAUUGAUCAUUUGAAUGAUAACUUGGUUCAUGCAUUGUCUUAACUAUGCAAAAAUUGUUUUUGUAAAACACUGUGACAAUGAAGUGUUAUUUUUUAAAACACCCUGUCAUCUUUCAAGAUUCCACUACCUUAUAUAUGCGAUGUUCAUUUUAAUGUUCUGAGAAACUUUUGAUUUUAGGAUCUAAUAGGCUUUUUAAACCCUUAUUUUUGUUAUCUAAUACAAGUACCUGAUUGGUUCAUGCAAGACUUGUAUCUUGCAUUUUCCUGUGAAUGAUUAGUGCCUAUGAUGGUUUUAAAUAUACUACGAGUGACUACAAUGAUAAGGACUAUAUCUGAGGCACAAUCAUCUGGUUUCACUUAUUUUUAUAGGUUAUUUGAAUUUUAAAUGUUUGUCUUUGUAAUAUGAGUAAAUUAGUUGGUGUUGUAUCUGCAAACGAACUUUUGAUGUUGGGUUUUUCGUUCGGGAACUUGUGGCAGGGUUACUCAAGUUUUUAGUUUCAAUGCCUAAUUCAUCUGCCAUUCUUCUAGACCAAAUUUGUGUCUUACAGUCAUGCAAUAGAUUUGCAAUCCUUGUUUUAACAUCUAAAUGUAUUUUAUUAUUUUUCCUUUUUUAUAUUUUUCGUGGAAGGAUUUCAUAGGGCCGGUUAACUUUGUAGGAUGGUUUCUUUGAAUGUGUGAAAUGUUCAUAUUUGUUAUUUUGACAUGAAUUUUUAAUGCUGAUUAUAAAAUUUGGCUCAGAUCUUGGUUGAGUGCCAAUGGCCAAACACAAUGCCAUCCAGAUUUGGAACAACCAACUUAUUUCAAAGCUGGUGUAUUCACAAGUCUUUCCGUUGGAAUUGAUAUUGGGAUGUUCAUAUGCAAGGUAUCGUCAUCAGCUGCUAACUUGUGAUCCAGCGUUGGCAUGAGUCAAUUGUCAAAGUCAACCCAAAAGUUUGGCAUGAGUCAAUUGUCAAAGCGUUGACUUGUGAUCCAGCUGCUAACUUGUAUAUCAUUCAAAGUCAAUAAUGAUAUCACUAAAAUCCUGAUAUCAGGGAAAUACGAGCAACUUUAAAGUCUUGGCGUUAUAAAUAUCUUGUUUGGACAUAACUAGCAGAAUAUCACUCCUUGAGUUUGUAAUACAUUGUAACUCUUUGUUUGUGUUUUGUCUAUUUUCUUGGAUUAAGUUGUCAUUCCUACUAAUAGAA